CAAAAUAAUAUCUGAGUCACCAGCUUCUGUGUCAUGAGUGUUUAAAGGACAUGGCUUGAUUUUUUGAAACAAGGGUUUUGAUUUCAAGCGGCUGUAUUUCAAUUCACAAAGACCAUCAGUUCAGAAAUUGGUUAAAAAUUCAAUUGUCUUUGCCUGUUUACAGCAUAUAUAGGUUUGAUUUUUAUGAGCUGCAAGCUUGAUUUGUUUUUAUUAGGUGCUUGAAAGUGAUCUCAGACCUAAUGGUCACGAUAC
RNAcentral lists this long non-coding RNA (252 nucleotides) under Prunus persica (peach). RNAcentral's name for it is "long non-coding RNA (PPER_LNC000476)". The record is from RNAcentral. Lineage: Eukaryota; Viridiplantae; Streptophyta; Magnoliopsida; Rosales; Rosaceae.